RNAcentral lists this ribosomal RNA (468 nucleotides) under uncultured bacterium. RNAcentral's name for it is "partial 16S ribosomal RNA". It matches the Rfam family "Bacterial small subunit ribosomal RNA", at positions 28 to 507 of the family's 1533-position model. The record is from RNAcentral.
GACGAACGCUGGCGGCGUGCUUAACACAUGCAAGUCGAACGGAAAGGCACUGCUUUUGUGGGGUGCUCGAGUGGCGAACGGGUGCGUAACACGUGAGUAACCUGCCCUUGACUUUGGGAUAACUUCAGGAAACUGGGGCUAAUACAGGAUAGGAGCUCCCGCUGCAUGGUGGGGGUUGGAAAGUUUCGGCGGUUGGGGAUGGACUCGCGGCUUAUGAGCUUGUUGGUGGGGUAGUGGCUUACCAAGGCUUUGACCGGUCGGCGGCCUGAGAGGGUGACCGGCCACGUUGGGACUGAGAUACGGCCCAGACUCCUACGGGAGGCAGCAGUGGGGAAUAUUGCACAACGGGAGGAAGCCUGAUACGACGACGCCGCGGGCGGGAAGACGGCCUGCGGGUUGUAAACCGCAGUCGCCUGUGACGAAGCGUGAGUGACGGUAAUGGAUAAAGAAGCACCGGCUAACUACGUG